CGGAGGGAAACCGAGUCUUAACCGGGCGUUAAGUUGCAGGGUAUAGACCCGAAACCCGGUGAUCUAGCCAUGGGCAGGUUGAAGGUUGGGUAACACUAACUGGAGGACCGAACCGACUAAUGUUGAAAAAUUAGCGGAUGACCUGUGGCUGGGGGUGAAAGGCCAAUCAAACCGGGAGAUAGCUGGUUCUCCCCGAAAGCUAUUUAGGUAGCGCCUCGUGAACUCAUCUCCGGGGGUAGAGCACUGUUUCGGCUAGGGGGCCAUCCCGGCUUACCAACCCGAUGCAAACUGCGAAUACCGGAGAAUGUUAUCACGGGAGACACACGGCGGGUGCUAACGUCCGUCGUGAAGAGGGAAACAACCCAGACCGCCAGCUAAGGUCCCAAAGUCAUGGUUAAGUGGGAAACGAUGUGGGAAGGCCCAGACAGCCAGGAUGUUGGCUUAGAAGCAGCCAUCAUUUAAAGAAAGCGUAAUAGCUCACUGGUCGAGUCGGCCUGCGCGGAAGAUGUAACGGGGCUAAACCAUGCACCGAAGCUGCGGCAGCGACACUGUGUGUUGUUGGGUAGGGGAGCGUUCUGUAAGCCUGUGAAGGUGGCCUGUGAGGGUUGCUGGAGGUAUCAGAAGUGCGAAUGCUGACAUAAGUAACGAUAAAGCGGGUGAAAAGCCCGCUCGCCGGAAGACCAAGGGUUCCUGUCCAACGUUAAUCGGGGCAGGGUGAGUCGACCCCUAAGGCGAGGCCGAAAGGCGUAGUCGAUGGGAAACGGGUUAAUAUUCCCGUACUUGGUGUUACUGCGAAGGGGGGACGGAGAAGGCUAUGUUGGCCGGGCGACGGUUGUCCCGGUUUAAGCGUGUAGGUGUGUGUUCCAGGUAAAUCCGGUUCACUUUAACACUGAGGCGUGAUGACGAGGCACUACGGUGCUGAAGCAACAAAUGCCCUGCUUCCAGGAAAAGCCUCUAAGCAUCAGGUAACACGAAAUCGUACCCCAAACCGACACAGGUGGUCAGGUAGAGAAUACCAAGGCGCUUGAGAGAACUCGGGUGAAGGAACUAGGCAAAAUGGUGCCGUAACUUCGGGAGAAGGCACGCUGACACGUAGGUGAAGUGAUUUACUCAUGGAGCUGAAGUCAGUCGAAGAUACCAGCUGGCUGCAACUGUUUAUUAAAAACACAGCACUGUGCAAACACGAAAGUGGACGUAUACGGUGUGACGCCUGCCCGGUGCCGGAAGGUUAAUUGAUGGGGUCAGCGCAAGCGAAGCUCCUGAUCGAAGCCCCGGUAAACGGCGGCCGUAACUAUAACGGUCCUAAGGUAGCGAAAUUCCUUGUCGGGUAAGUUCCGACCUGCACGAAUGGCGUAAUGAUGGCCAGGCUGUCUCCACCCGAGACUCAGUGAAAUUGAACUCGCUGUGAAGAUGCAGUGUACCCGCGGCAAGACGGAAAGACCCCGUGAACCUUUACUAUAGCUUGACACUGAACAUUGAGCCUUGAUGUGUAGGAUAGGUGGGAGGCUUUGAAGUGUGGACGCCAGUCUGCAUGGAGCCGACCUUGAAAUACCACCCUUUAAUGUUUGAUGUUCUAACGUGGACCCGUUACCCGGGUUGCGGACAGUGUCUGGUGGGUAGUUUGACUGGGGCGGUCUCCUCCUAAAGAGUAACGGAGGAGCACGAAGGUUGGCUAAUCCUGGUCGGACAUCAGGAGGUUAGUGCAAUGGCAUAAGCCAGCUUGACUGCGAGCGUGACGGCGCGAGCAGGUGCGAAAGCAGGUCAUAGUGAUCCGGUGGUUCUGAAUGGAAGGGCCAUCGCUCAACGGAUAAAAGGUACUCCGGGGAUAACAGGCUGAUACCGCCCAAGAGUUCAUAUCGACGGCGGUGUUUGGCACCUCGAUGUCGGCUCAUCACAUCCUGGGGCUGAAGUAGGUCCCAAGGGUAUGGCUGUUCGCCAUUUAAAGUGGUACGCGAGCUGGGUUUAGAACGUCGUGAGACAGUUCGGUCCCUAUCUGCCGUGGGCGCUGGAGAACUGAGGGGGGCUGCUCCUAGUACGAGAGGACCGGAGUGGACGCAUCACUGGUGUUCGGGUUGUCAUGCCAAUGGCACUGCCCGGUAGCUAAAUGCGGAAGAGAUAAGUGCUGAAAGCAUCUAAGCACGAAACUUGCCCCGAGAUGAGUUCUCCCUGAGACUUUAGGUCUCCUGAAGGAACGUUGAAGACGACGACGUUGAUAGGCCGGGUGUGUAAGCGCAGCGAUGCGUUGAGCUAACCGGUACUAAUGAACCGUGAGGCUUAACCUUACAACGCCGAAG
Molecule: ribosomal RNA, 2294 nt
Filed under: Salmonella enterica
Lineage: Bacteria; Pseudomonadati; Pseudomonadota; Gammaproteobacteria; Enterobacterales; Enterobacteriaceae
Description: partial 23S ribosomal RNA
Rfam family: Bacterial large subunit ribosomal RNA
Source: RNAcentral